GUUUACUGCUUGGGGAUGGGGUUGCGUUCCAUCAGCUAGUUGGCGGGGUAAAGGCCCACCAAGGCAACGACGGAUAGCCGGCCUGAGAGGGUGGCCGGCCACAGGGGCACUGAGACACGGGUCCCACUCCUACGGGAGGCAGCAGUUAGGAAUCUUCCACAAUGGGCGAAAGCCUGAUGGAGCGACGCCGCGUGAGGGAUGAAGGUUCUCGGAUCGUAAACCUCUGAAUCAGGGACGAAAGACGCGUAAGCGGGAUGACGGUACCUGAGUAAUAGCACCGGCUAACUCCG
RNAcentral lists this ribosomal RNA (290 nucleotides) under Deinococcus sp. 25(2010). RNAcentral describes it as "partial 16S ribosomal RNA". It matches the Rfam family "Bacterial small subunit ribosomal RNA", at positions 210 to 505 of the family's 1533-position model. The record is from RNAcentral. Lineage: Bacteria; Thermotogati; Deinococcota; Deinococci; Deinococcales; Deinococcaceae.